AGUGAACGCUGGCGGUAGGCCUAACACAUGCAAGUCGAACGGCAGCACAGUAAGAGCUUGCUCCUACGGGUGGCGAGUGGCGGACGGGUGAGGAAUACAUCGGAAUCUACUUUUUCGUGGGGGAUAACGUAGGGAAACUUACGCUAAUACCGCAUACGACCUACGGGUGAAAGCAGGGGAUCUUCGGACCUUGCGCGAUUGAAUGAGCCGAUGUCGGAUUAGCUAGUUGGCGGGGUAAAGGCCCACCAAGGCGACGAUCCGUAGCUGGUCUGAGAGGAUGAUCAGCCACACUGGAACUGAGACACGGUCCAGACUCCUACGGGAGGCAGCAGUGGGGAAUAUUGGACAAUGGGCGCAAGCCUGAUCCAGCCAUACCGCGUGGGUGAAGAAGGCCUUCGGGUUGUAAAGCCCUUUUGUUGGGAAAGAAAAGCAGCAGGUUAACACCCCGCUGUUCUGACGGUACCCAAAGAAUAAGCACCGGCUAACUUCGUG
RNAcentral lists this ribosomal RNA (492 nucleotides) under uncultured bacterium. RNAcentral describes it as "partial 16S ribosomal RNA". It matches the Rfam family "Bacterial small subunit ribosomal RNA", at positions 29 to 507 of the family's 1533-position model. The record is from RNAcentral.